GCUUCUUCUAUCUAAGAUAGCAGAUCUCUUUCCUACAGGCCCAGCUGUUACGUUACACGAGUGAGGAUGAACAGAUCAAGAGGUUUGAGAGACAUGAUUUUAGUGGCUCAUUUCGACAUCUGAGGACCAUCGAGAUCCUGGACUUUUCUGGGUCCAUGCUGCCGUUUGUUGAAUAUUUGCUCAAGCAUGCAAGUGUGCUAGAAAAAUUUGUCAUUGUUCCCAGAAGCAAAAGCAGUGAUGCGUAUGUCGAAAUAGUAGAGGAGUUCCUGCACUUUCCAAGAUCCUCUUCAUCUGUGACUUUAUGUUUGAAACUGGAUUGAGCUGAUAGACAAGACUUGGAUUGCACUUGCCUUCCGAGUUCUGCUGGAAUAUGUCAUGAGCACUGUUUCUUGCUUUGAUUAUAUUAGGUUUUCUGUCUGUUAACCAAAGAAGCAUUAAACUGUCAUGUAUAGGAACUGAAGGUCAUCACCGUAUGUCUUUCAAGAAAUUUGUAACCAAAAGAAGAGAACUCCCUUGUAGGAAUAAAAGAUCAACCAAAUGUAGGUAGACAAGGACGCUUUCCAGAAUCUAAACUACGCUUUCAAAUUACAUUUCCAGAAUCUGAACUACACUUUCCAAGAGCUGAUCUAAACAGGGUUGGCAGUUGAAGACAAGGACGACGUAGACCAGGUGGCAUAUAGUGAGGAACUCUUCUGGUGAUAUCAUUAUUUGGCAUAUGUAGCCCCACUAGGUCAUGGUGAUAUCAUUAUGUGGCAUAGUACGUCUCUUCCUUUUUCUCGUUCCACUUCACAACCAAACAAACAUACUUGAACACCUCAUCAGCUGUCACUCUGUCUAUUGCCCGAGCUUGCCACACAAAUAGCAUAGAGGUCUUUAAACUUCAUUGCGAAUGGUUACUAUGGUCCCACACUAGACAGAAAUUGCUGACUCACUCAUAAGAGUCCAAUGAUACACGAGCAACCGUCUCCUCAAACAGAUCAGACUUGUUCAAGAUUAAAACAAAUAGAGUCAAUGGAAAAAGGGGUGUCUGACCAUUGUUUCAAAGAGUUGUUUGAUAUGUGUCCUCUUGUUCUGAAGUAGUGGCCCUCUGUCCUCCGGAGCAAGCCAUGUCUGAUCAUAGUCACUCAGGGAGCCACACAAGAUGCUACAAUACAAACAUCUCAACCGAUUUGCAUCCACCACUAAUUCCAUUGGCAUUUAGCUAGUACUCUUGGUUUCCGUUCAAUCACCGUCUCAAGAUCUAUAGAAAGCUGUCAAUCCAGGGACGCCCAACAGUACUGUGGCUGUAUUAAGUAGUAAAACUUUCCAGCUAGAUGGUGGAGACCACCACCCUUUCAACACUAGUAUAGACAGGCACUUAUAAACCAAUUAUGUGAAAACAAAGAA
Molecule: unclassified non-coding RNA, 1386 nt
Filed under: Hevea brasiliensis (rubber tree)
Lineage: Eukaryota; Viridiplantae; Streptophyta; Magnoliopsida; Malpighiales; Euphorbiaceae
Source: RNAcentral